Molecule: transfer RNA, 73 nt
Filed under: Canis lupus familiaris (dog)
Lineage: Eukaryota; Metazoa; Chordata; Mammalia; Carnivora; Canidae
Also listed under: 1 other name
Rfam family: tRNA
About the family: Transfer RNA (tRNA) molecules are approximately 80 nucleotides in length. Their secondary structure includes four short double-helical elements and three loops (D, anti-codon, and T loops).
Source: Rfam by way of RNAcentral
UCCUAGCUGGCUCAGUUGGAAGAGCAUUUGACUCUUAAUCUCAGGGUCAUGAGUUCAAACCCCAUGUUGGGGG